GCCACCAUUGCCCCUCUCUGGGACCUGCGUCUUCCCAUUUGGAAGCUGGGGUUUACUUAUUCCUGCCCCUCUGCCGGGUAACUGUGAAGAUGAGAGGUGGGUCCUGGCUCUGAACUGGGAUCUCCUGGGAAAGCGGGGCAUUGCCGUUCCCUCCUGAUGUCACGCUUAUCUGUCCUGCCUUCGUCCUCAUUCAGCCUGUGCCCCCUUUCCCAGGCUACUGGCUGUGAAACAGGGUGAGAGACGUGCUGACGUAGGAUGGAGAGAAGAGCCUAGAAGGCCUGGCGUGGGAAGAAGAUACAGCAACUUCAGGGGAAAGGCAGAGCGAGGCCCUGAGAGCUCUGGGUCGACAGUGCCUGACAGGUGCUGGCACAACGCCAUGGCAACAACUGACCAAGCAGUUUCUCUGGAGCAGACAGCCUGGGUCCAAAUCGCAGCCUCCUUGCUAGCUGUGUGAUCUCAGACAGGUGACUUAACUUUUCUGUGUCUCAGUGUCCAUGUUUGUAAAAUGGCAAUGUCACAAUAUCCAUCUUAUGAAGUUGUCAAGACUAAAAGAGUUAAUAUUUAUAAAGUCUUAGAAGAUGAUGGAACAUGAUAGUGUAUGAAAAUAGAAUGUGUACAUGUAUGUGUAACUGGGUCACCAUGCUGUACAGUAGAAAAAAAAGUUGUAUUGGGGAAAUAACUAUUAAAAAAAUUGAAAAUAAAUAAAUAAAUAAAAAAUAAAGUCUUAGAAGUGCCUAGCAUGUGGUAACUGUUCAACAAGCAUUCGGUGUUUUUUCUUUUUCUUUUUUGUUCUUUUUUGUUGUUGUUUUUGGGGCUGAGCUUGUGGCAUAUGGAAGUUCCCAGGCUAGGGGUCACAUCAGAGCUAUAGCUGCUGGCCUACAUCACAGCCACAGCAAGGCAGAAUCUGAGCCGCAUCUUCGACCUACACCACAGCUCAUGGCAACACCAGAUCCUUAACCCACUGAGCAAGGCCAGGGAUCGAACCCACAACCUCAUGGUUCCUAGUCAGAUUUGUUAACCACUGAGUCACGACGGGAACUCCCUUAGACUCUAGUCAACAGAAAUUGAGAAGAGGCCAGACAAGAAAUCCAGGUGAGACUUUGUCGGGAUUCAAGGCUUUAUUGAGACUUGAGUUACAGCACGAUGGAGUGAAAACGAUCAACAGGUUCCCUUGCUCGCUCCCUGGGUUGAGGAGGCGGC
This 1200-nucleotide long non-coding RNA is filed under the name Sus scrofa (pig). Its description in RNAcentral is "lncRNA (ENSSSCG00040071628.1)". The record is from RNAcentral. Lineage: Eukaryota; Metazoa; Chordata; Mammalia; Artiodactyla; Suidae.